AUGCCUCUGACUCUUCUGCAAUACUUGUAUUGAAGACAAAUGUUUAAAGAUUCGUAAUAUAAAGUAUUUUCUUAGACAUAGGGCCAUCCCAAAAUAUGUGAUUAAUUGAUACAAUAGUAAGGUUAUUUUCUUCAAAAGAUAGUAACCAUGAACUUCUUUAUGGGUCAGGGUCUUCCUAGGUUGCUGAAAUUGGCCUCAAACUUGUGAUCCUCCCACCACAGUUUCCUGAAUAGCCACAGGUACAGGUGUGCACCAUAGCACCAGCCCACUGAGCAGAAUGCAGCUCUACAAUGAAGACGCAAGAGCUGGAGCAACUUUGAGUCUCUGACUCCUCAGG
This is a long non-coding RNA of Tupaia belangeri chinensis (Chinese tree shrew), 337 nucleotides long. RefSeq lists it as uncharacterized. The transcript has 3 exons. NCBI's taxonomy places the organism in Eukaryota, Metazoa, Chordata, Mammalia, Scandentia, Tupaiidae. The record is from RefSeq and is a predicted model, not a curated record.